GAUGAACGCUGGCGGCGUGCCUAAUACAUGCAAGUCGAGCGAACAGACGAGGAGCUUGCUCGUCUGACGUUAGCGGCGGACGGGUGAGUAACACGUGUAUAACCUACCUAUAAGACUGGGAUAACUUCGGGAAACCGGAGCUAAUACCGGAUAAUAUAUUGAACCGCAUGGUUCAAUAGAGAAAGACGGUUUUGCUGUCACUAAUAGAUGGUUCCGGGCCGCAUUAGCUAGUUGGUACGGUAACGGCUUACCAAGGCUACGAUGCGUAGCCGACCUGAGAGGAUGAUCGGCCACACUGGAACUGAGACACGGUCCAGACUCCUACGGGAGGCAGCAGUAGGGAAUCUUCGGCAAUGGGCGAAAGCUUGACGGAGCAACGCCGCGUGAGUGAUGAAGGUCUUCGGAUCGUAAAGCUCUGUUAUUAGGGAAGAACAGAUGUAUAAGUAAAUAUGCACGUCUUGACGGUACCUAAUCAGAAAGCCACGGCUAACUACGUG
RNAcentral lists this ribosomal RNA (497 nucleotides) under uncultured bacterium. RNAcentral's name for it is "partial 16S ribosomal RNA". It matches the Rfam family "Bacterial small subunit ribosomal RNA", at positions 28 to 507 of the family's 1533-position model. The record is from RNAcentral.